RNAcentral lists this ribosomal RNA (753 nucleotides) under Daldinia eschscholtzii. RNAcentral's name for it is "partial large subunit ribosomal RNA". Lineage: Eukaryota; Fungi; Ascomycota; Sordariomycetes; Xylariales; Hypoxylaceae. The record is from RNAcentral.
GGUCCGAGUUGUAAUUUGUAGAGGAUGCUUUUGGUGAGGUGCCUUCCGAGUUCCCUGGAACGGGACGCCGGAGAGGGUGAGAGCCCCGUACGGUUGGACGCCAAACCUCUGUAUAGCUCCUUCGACGAGUCGAGUAGUUUGGGAAUGCUGCUCUAAAUGGGAGGUAAAUUUCUUCUAAAGCUAAAUACCGGCCAGAGACCGAUAGCGCACAAGUAGAGUGAUCGAAAGAUGAAAAGCACUUUGAAAAGAGGGUUAAAUAGCACGUGAAAUUGUUGAAAGGGAAGCGUUUGCGACCAGACUUUUUCCAGGCGGAUCAUCCGGCGUUCUCGCCGGUGCACUCCGCCUGGUUGAGGCCAGCAUCGGUUUCCUUAGGGGGAUAAAGGCCUGGGGAACGUAGCUCCUUCGGGAGUGUUAUAGCCCCUGGCGUAAUACCCCUGAAGGGACCGAGGAACGCGCUCUGCAAGGAUGCUGGCGUAAUGGUCGUCAACGACCCGUCUUGAAACACGAACCAAGGAGUCGAACAUUUGUGCGAGUGUUUGGGUGUCAGACSCUCACGCGUAAUGAAAGUGAACGGAGGUGAGAGCCUUGGGUGCAUCAUCGAHCGAUCCUGAUGUCUUCGGAUGGAUGAGAGUAAGAGCAUAACUGAUCGGACCCGAAAGAAGGUGAACUAUGCGUGGAUAGGGUGAAGCCAGAGGAAACUCUGGUGGAAGCUCGCAACGAAUCUGACGUGCAAAUCGAUCGUCAAAUCUGCGC